RNAcentral lists this ribosomal RNA (1309 nucleotides) under Bacillus subtilis. RNAcentral describes it as "bacterial SSU rRNA". It matches the Rfam family "Bacterial small subunit ribosomal RNA", at positions 60 to 1352 of the family's 1533-position model. Lineage: Bacteria; Bacillati; Bacillota; Bacilli; Caryophanales; Bacillaceae. The record is from RNAcentral.
AGUCGAGCGGACAGAUGGGAGCUUGCUCCCUGAUGUUAGCGGCGGACGGGUGAGUAACACGUGGGUAACCUGCCUGUAAGACUGGGAUAACUCCGGGAAACCGGGGCUAAUACCGGAUGGUUGUUUGAACCGCAUGGUUCAAACAUAAAAGGUGGCUUCGGCUACCACUUACAGAUGGACCCGCGGCGCAUUAGCUAGUUGGUGAGGUAACGGCUCACCAAGGCGACGAUGCGUAGCCGACCUGAGAGGGUGAUCGGCCACACUGGGACUGAGACACGGCCCAGACUCCUACGGGAGGCAGCAGUAGGGAAUCUUCCGCAAUGGACGAAAGUCUGACGGAGCAACGCCGCGUGAGUGAUGAAGGUUUUCGGAUCGUAAAGCUCUGUUGUUAGGGAAGAACAAGUACCGUUCGAAUAGGGCGGUACCUUGACGGUACCUAACCAGAAAGCCACGGCUAACUACGUGCCAGCAGCCGCGGUAAUACGUAGGUGGCAAGCGUUGUCCGGAAUUAUUGGGCGUAAAGGGCUCGCAGGCGGUUUCUUAAGUCUGAUGUGAAAGCCCCCGGCUCAACCGGGGAGGGUCAUUGGAAACUGGGGAACUUGAGUGCAGAAGAGGAGAGUGGAAUUCCACGUGUAGCGGUGAAAUGCGUAGAGAUGUGGAGGAACACCAGUGGCGAAGGCGACUCUCUGGUCUGUAACUGACGCUGAGGAGCGAAAGCGUGGGGAGCGAACAGGAUUAGAUACCCUGGUAGUCCACGCCGUAAACGAUGAGUGCUAAGUGUUAGGGGGUUUCCGCCCCUUAGUGCUGCAGCUAACGCAUUAAGCACUCCGCCUGGGGAGUACGGUCGCAAGACUGAAACUCAAAGGAAUUGACGGGGGCCCGCACAAGCGGUGGAGCAUGUGGUUUAAUUCGAAGCAACGCGAAGAACCUUACCAGGUCUUGACAUCCUCUGACAAUCCUAGAGAUAGGACGUCCCCUUCGGGGGCAGAGUGACAGGUGGUGCAUGGUUGUCGUCAGCUCGUGUCGUGAGAUGUUGGGUUAAGUCCCGCAACGAGCGCAACCCUUGAUCUUAGUUGCCAGCAUUCAGUUGGGCACUCUAAGGUGACUGCCGGUGACAAACCGGAGGAAGGUGGGGAUGACGUCAAAUCAUCAUGCCCCUUAUGACCUGGGCUACACACGUGCUACAAUGGACAGAACAAAGGGCAGCGAAACCGCGAGGUUAAGCCAAUCCCACAAAUCUGUUCUCAGUUCGGAUCGCAGUCUGCAACUCGACUGCGUGAAGCUGGAAUCGCUAGUAAUCGCGGAUCAG